This is a non-coding RNA of Podarcis lilfordi (Lilford's wall lizard), 69 nucleotides long. The record is from the annotation of a GenBank genome assembly. NCBI's taxonomy places the organism in Eukaryota, Metazoa, Chordata, Lepidosauria, Squamata, Lacertidae.
GAGAUGGCUCAGUCGGUAGAGCAGGAGAUUCUUAAUCUCAGGGUUGUGGGUUCGAGUCCACGUUGAGCA